This 442-nucleotide unclassified non-coding RNA is filed under the name uncultured Prochlorococcus sp. Its description in RNAcentral is "partial may contain 16S ribosomal RNA, 16S-23S ribosomal RNA intergenic spacer, and 23S ribosomal RNA". The stretch from base 1 to 80 matches the Rfam family "Bacterial small subunit ribosomal RNA", at positions 1454 to 1533 of the family's 1533-position model. Lineage: Bacteria; Bacillati; Cyanobacteriota; Cyanophyceae; Synechococcales; Prochlorococcaceae. The record is from RNAcentral.
CGCCGAAGGUGGGGCUAAUGACUGGGGUGAAGUCGUAACAAGGUAGCCGUACCGGAAGGUGCGGCUGGAUCACCUCCUAACAGGGAGACAAAAAUUGAUUAUGAAGUCUGAAUUUCAAUUUCAGGCCAUAGUCCUGUCACCUUAGGUCGAUCGGUACCUCAGAUUGAUUUUGUCGGUUAAAUAAAGAGCAAUCUUCUUUUAUAAGGCUUUCAGUUUCAGUUCCUAAACUUGUCUAGGUCACACCCAACAAACUUUCUUCUGGGCUAUUAGCUCAGGUGGUUAGAGCGCACCCCUGAUAAGGGUGAGGUCCCUGGUUCAAGUCCAGGAUGGCCCAUUCGUUGUUGGGGGUAUAGCUCAGUUGGUACAGCGCCUGCUUUGCAAGCAGGAUGUCAGCGGUUCGAGUCCGCUUACCUCCACUGAUCAACUGCCUGAUAACUCAAUU